RNAcentral lists this long non-coding RNA (711 nucleotides) under Nicotiana benthamiana. RNAcentral's name for it is "long non-coding RNA (NBEN_LNC021724)". Lineage: Eukaryota; Viridiplantae; Streptophyta; Magnoliopsida; Solanales; Solanaceae. The record is from RNAcentral.
AACCUAUGCAAAAAUUCAUGAUGACAAAAAUAUAAUGCUAAAAGGAGGGUCAGAAGAAAUUUUCAACAGCAACUACUGUCAAAUACAGAAGAUUCUUUACACGUAUUCUACUUUAUCAGAUUUAUGUAGCCUGAAAGCAUAAGGAAAUGCAUCGUGUAGCACUAAACUAGAUGUGACAAUCAUAAAUCACAUAUAAGCAAUCAUUCAAGCAACUUGAUAUUUCAGCUCAAAACCGAAAGUCAUCAGUAAACUGAGGAUGCUGAGAGUCAAAAUAUAAAAAGUGGAACUGAUCUGCUCUGGUGUCAUACAUAGUACUGAGUAGUGACAGUCUUCUUUUUUAUUUUUUAUCUUUUAUUUUUCAUAGGUAGUGAAAGUGUGGAACUGAUCUGCUCUGGUGUCAUACAUAGAACUGAGUAAUGAGUCUUCUUUUUUAUUUUUUAUUUUUGAUAGGUAGUAAUGACAGUCUUCAUUACAUGUAUACUCUAUCUGAUCAUAAUAUUAUCUAAAAAAUCUACAAAUCACAAGCUAUUUUAGCACCGACAUGCAACCAUUAAUAACUAGCGUACUCUAUAUCGAAUGUUACAAGUAACAUUAGGAAGUAGGUUUAAGAUUCUCUCCUAGCAGGAAUGUUUAUCUUGCAAAGAAGCAUAUCACUCAAAAAGGGCAUCCCGGACUAGUCAAAGAAAGCCUGUAAAGGACAUAAAACUAACC